CCUACGGGUGGCAGCAGUGAGGAAUAUUGGACAAUGGACGAGAGUCUGAACCAGCGAAGUAGCGUGAAGGAUGACUGCCCUCUGGGUUGUAAACUUUUUUUAUAUGGGAAUAAAACAGGGUAUGCAUACCCUCUUGUAUGUACAAUAAGAAUAAGGAUCGGCUUACUCCGUCCCAGCAGCCGCGGUAAUACGGAGGGUCCGAGUGUUAUCCGGAUUUAGUGGGUUUAAAGGGAGCGUAGGUGGAUUGUUAAGUCAGUUGUGAAAGUUUGCGGCUCAACCGUAAAAGUGCAGUUGAAACUGGCAGUCUUGAGUACAGUAGAGGUGAGCGGAAUUCGUGGUGUAGCGGUGAAAUGCUUAGAUAUCACGAAGAACUCCGGUUGCGAAGGCAGCUCACUGGACUGCAACUGACACUGAUGCUCGAAAGUGUGGGUAUCAAACAGGAUUAGAUACCCCGGUAGUC
This 460-nucleotide ribosomal RNA is filed under the name uncultured bacterium. RNAcentral's name for it is "partial 16S ribosomal RNA". It matches the Rfam family "Bacterial small subunit ribosomal RNA", at positions 338 to 795 of the family's 1533-position model. The record is from RNAcentral.